RNA transcript from Otolemur garnettii (small-eared galago), 875 nucleotides. It is a transcript of the gene named tumor protein D52 pseudogene, with no coding region annotated. The record is from RefSeq and is a predicted model, not a curated record. The transcript has a single exon. NCBI's taxonomy places the organism in Eukaryota, Metazoa, Chordata, Mammalia, Primates, Galagidae.
AUGGAUUGUAGAGAGAUGGACUUACAUGAGGACUACCAGUCCCCGUUUGAUUUUGAUACAGGAGUGAACAAAAGCUAUCUCUACUUGUCUCCUAGUGGAAAUUCAUCUCCACCCGGAUCACCUGCUCUUCAGAAAUUUGGUCUGCUGAGGACAGAUCCAGCCCCUGAGGAAGGAGAGGAUGUUGCUGCCACCGUCAGUCCUACAGACGACCUAUCAGAAGAGGAGCGAGAAGAGCUGAGACGAGAACUGGCAAAGGUUGAAGAAGAAAUUCAGACUCUGUCUCAAGUGUUAGCAGCAAAAGAGAAGCACCUAGCAGGGAUCAAGCGGAAACUUGGAAUCGGUUCACUACAAGAAUUAAAACAGAAUAUUGCCAAAGGAUGGCAAGAUGUGGCGGCAACAUCUGCAUACAAGAAGACAUCUGAAGCAUUGUCUCAGGCUGGACAGAAGGCUUCCGCUGCCUUUUCAUCCGUUGGCUCCGUCAUCACCAAAAAGCUGGAAGAUAUCAAAAACUCCCCAACCUUGAAAUCAUUUGAAGAAAAGGUUGAAAACUUAAAGUCUAAAGUAGGGGGAACCAAGCCUGUCGGUUUUGACUUUGGAGAAGUCUUGAUCAACUGCAAAUGCUAGUGCCACCACCAGGGAGCCUCAUCCAGAACCAACACAGGAGAGCCUGGGAGAUUCCUACCUUUGUUCUGCGUCCCACUGCCAGAGGCUGCAAGCGAGAUCUGAGCACAUCUUGUCAACAUUUGUGAAUUUCUACCAGAUGGGCUUUUACUUAGCUUUACAUACUCCUUUGACCAAAUAGCUUGUGGGUUAAACAAAAUGAAAAUAUCUCCACCUCUACUCCUGGGAAACACCCUCUAAUGUAUCUUUAAGGC